AAAGGAUUUAUGCAUCCACCUGUCACCCGCCUCCCAUCUCGGGGCAUAGGUUGAACUGCCCUCAACAUGGACUGCUAGCACCACUCAUGCAGCUAUUAAGCUAGCAGAUAUCUAGACCCACACCAUACUGAUGACACUAUACACCUUGUAAUGUUUUAGUUUACCAUUGCAUAGCUAUACUGGGCAAAUGACAGGUACAAGGAUGUAAUACGGCAUACUCGUAUAGGUAUUAGCUUGUGUUGCUUUACUUGCUCACAUGCCUUGCUACCACACUUGCUCGUUAACUGACCCAAUACUUCUAUUUCAGAGUAUGUAAAGUAGAACUGUGUUAAACAUAUGUUUUUCCCUUUUUUGACUUGUCUUUAAUUAUCU
This is a non-coding RNA of Pelobates cultripes (western spadefoot toad), 372 nucleotides long. Lineage: Eukaryota; Metazoa; Chordata; Amphibia; Anura; Pelobatidae. The record is from the annotation of a GenBank genome assembly.